UUAGAGUUUGAUCCUGGCUCAAGAUAACCUCUGGCGGCGCACAUAAGACAUGCAAGUCGAACGAACUUAACCAUUAGUUUACUAUUGGAGCGGUUAGUGGCGGACUGGUGAGUAACACGUAAGCAACCUGCCUAUCAGAGGGGAACAACAGUUAGAAAUGACUGCUAAUACCGCAUAUGCCUUGAGUAUCACAUGGUACAAAAGGGAAAGGAGCAAUCCGCUGAUAGAUGGGCUUGCGUCUGAUUAGAUAGUUGGUGAGGUAACGGCCCACCAAGUCGACGAUCAGUAGCCGGACUGAGAGGUUGAACGGCCACAUUGGGACUGAGAUACGGCCCACACUCCUACGGGAGGCAGCAGUCGGGAAUAUUGCGCAAUGGAAGAAACUCUGACGCAGUGACGCCGCGUGCAGGAAGAAGGUUUUCGGAUUGUAAACUGCUUUAGACAGGGAAGAAACAAGACAGUACCUGUAGAAUAAGCUCCGGCUAACUACGUGCCAGCAGCCGCGGUAAUACGUAGGGAGCAAGCGUUAUCCGGAUUUAUUGGGUGUAAAGGGUGCGUAGACGGGAAAUUAAGUUAGUUGUGAAAAUCCCUCGGCUUAACUGAGGAACUGCAACUAAAACUGAUUUUCUUGAGUGCUGGAGAGGAAAGUGGAAUUCCUAGUGUAGCGGUGAAAUGCGUAGAUAUUAGGAGGAACACCAGUGGCGAAGGCGACUUUCUGGACAGUAAACUGACGUUGAGGCACGAAAGAGUGGGGAGCAAA
RNAcentral lists this ribosomal RNA (760 nucleotides) under uncultured bacterium. RNAcentral's name for it is "bacterial SSU rRNA". It matches the Rfam family "Bacterial small subunit ribosomal RNA", at positions 1 to 772 of the family's 1533-position model. The record is from RNAcentral.